UGCCCGUCGCUGAUUGGUCCACUCCGCUGUCUGUUUUCUGUGGCUUGCUCCGCCCUGGAAAUUUGAUCCGCUCAUUGGUCGCCAGACUCUAUAGCUGGAACAGCGGUGAGUCUGGUGUACCAGGCUAAUGUUUUGUAGUAUCCAGGCAAGCUACUUCAACGUGUAGCCGUAGGGUUACCUGUAACAUAGCUUUUCUGACACUAUCCACUUGGUGCAAAAGUGGGAUGUGGCUGCUUUGAAGGAUGGUCAUAAUCAAAACAACCAAUGAAGACACUUGUGUUGAACGCUUUUGUUUGGAGGCGGUAUUUAAAAGAACAUGGCGUCACCCGCAACACCGUGUACAGGUGGAGGUCGAAAUGUAAAAUUAAUGGUCGGAUGACAAGCUUAUAGCGCUUGGUUUGGGGCGUUGAUAUUCAAACGCGGCCAGUGACCGAACAAAGCACAUAGCCAUAUUUGUUAAUUUUCAGAAUUUCCGAAACUCAAAUGCGACACACGAACGCAUCAAGAUGGUCUUCUGAACUAUUUUCCUCCCACCUCUGUACAUCCCUGGCCAUCUUUUACAGCCACCUUAUCCACAUCAGCACAAAGUCUAAGCCUGCCAAGUCUUCCCACACACAAACUGCCAGUGGAAAAAGAAGUACAGAGGCAGUCAGCAUGGUGUGCACCAUUUCCUGGUACAAGGCGGGUACAUGAAUGUCCACGUCGAUGUCUGUGGUCACCAACUCCGCGCUCUCGGGGCUCCAGAAGUCGAGCUACAAAAUGACAAUUGAGCUAAUACUACAAUACGCCACGGAUGAAGAUCGUGCCAUAGCCGUAAAUUCUCGAGCCAUAAAUCCUCGAGAGGAAACCUGAGUGAGUGCAAGCGGGAUUCAUCCACACAAUGAUGAUGACAACCUGUUAAAAAGCAGCACACCCUCUGCUUUGUCUAUUUAAGUUUUAACAGGUGCGGAGAAGUGGGUCACAUUCACCCUCUUACAUGGGCCACCCUUUCCGAAGUUGCCGCAGCGUUAAUGAAUCAUGAUGGAUGAGGUAUCUGUCAGCAGCCACAGCAUGGACAAACGAGGAAAGAAAGGAAAAACAAACACACUUGGAGGGGGGUGUAAGUCACAGUCCGGCCGGGUGACUUUGGGGCGCUCAGGUGUGACAGAGUCAUCGGUUUACAAAGGCGACAGUGGGUCAAAGGAACCAGGUGAGAGAGUUGUUUGUGAAUUGGUGUACCCGAGGCCUCUUCAGUCUUUAUGCCUGUCAUUAGUCAGGUCCAUCCUGAAACUCGGCAACCGAGCCAUUUACACCUCCAGAGUCUCGUAUAGCCUCCAUUACGCUUGUCAAUUAAGAAUUCCCUCGUUAGACGUGCCACACGUUCUCCGGGCUAUCAAACAAUGUGGAUCUGACCCGCAAGAACUCUCAGGAUGUCAGUUAUGUAUCGAGCAGUGAAUCUCCAAGAGCUGCUCUUUACAAAACAAAUACUUCUCAGAGGGGACAGGAUGUUGUUGCAAUACCAAGAGCAGCGCACAAUACUGAUAUACACCCCUCGGGUACGAGAAAAAACAGAUGGCGACGAUUUAAGAGUGAAGAGAAGAUUGCAGAAAGGUUUUGUUUUUGUUGUUCCUCUCGAGUACUUUUUAAAUUGAUGGUCAGGGUUCAGUUCAGGUUUGCAAUGUGAAACGUUAUUCUGUUGCCGCUUUCAAAUUAACACUGUUAUUCAACUCGGCACCUGCAGUAUGACCUCUGAAGUCGAACGCAGCUGAAAGUAAGGAUUCGGACAAGAAUGUUGCAAUGCAUAAACCUUUAAAGUCAAACUGUGACAGUUCAUUAGGAAGUGAUGAAAAACCGAAUGUUCGGAAUACACAUUCUCAAAAUUAAGUUAAAUCUUUAACUUAGACAGCACCACUUUACAUACCUGAUAUAUACAAUACAGUAUAUAUUUGACAUCAAUCAAUUAGCUGUACAAGAUUUAAGUUUAAAGCUUCAAUUUUGACAGCACUUAAUAUAUUUUCGCUACUCACCAUGAAUCAAAGCAUCACUGGCACCAUGAACGUGCAUGUGUACUGCAGGGCUGCUAGUGACACCGGGGAAAAACAGUACUGAAAAGUCACGCGCAAACAAACACACUAUACAAACAAGGAUUUGCAAUUGUAAAUAUUAAACAGGUUUAACAUUUGCAAAUUGUUGUUGAUCGUUUUAAUCAUCAUUAUCACCCUUUUCACUAUCACUCUUAACACAUCUUAAACUGCAGGAUGUAAUGCUCAAAUUUUAGACUCAUCAAUCAUUAAGAGUGCACAAACUCAGUUCAGUUUCCUAUAAUUGUAGUUCUGCACACAAUGGACUAAAAUUCAACUCGAAAUUUGACAGAGACUUACAGAAAAUACUCUAAAAUUGCAACACCAACAGAGGUGAGUUCAAACUGCCUUCAUGACUUCAAGCGAGACCUUAGGGUCCGUCACGAUACCUCAGUUUCUCUAGCCAAACUAAAUGAGGUUGAAAGGCUUGACUGUUAUAUUGAACAAGUCGGCAAAUCCUGCAAGGCCAUCAAUUUCCUCCACUCCUUAUCCUGUCAAAAAAAACAAAAAAAACAGCCAACAUCAUAUCUCUGGUGCUUGGAAAUCAUUGUCAGUGACGGACUAUUCAGAAUAUUUUUUAUCUCUGUACACGUUCCAUCUGAAAGACGGUAAAGAGGACAAGACUCAAAUGUAGGAUGUUUGUCAUCGCCUGGAGGCGUGAUGCUUCGACCAUGUUCUUGCUAAUCAGAUCCCUUUGACGUGAUUAGCAGCGUUCACGCUUAAGCGGCCGUCCAGUGACGAUUACGGGCAGAGGCGACCUCAUUUUCGAAAUGCCAAAUUGUUUCCCUCAGCCACCUGCCGAAGGAAAGAUGAUACCCUGCAAUGUGUGACCAUACAGCGAACAUCUCAAGUACAGUGAUGCCCAUCCGUGUGUGGAAGCGGAUUCAUGCCACUGGAAGUGUUCUUGUCUGAGAUGCCGGCGACUUUCUCCCUCUCAAAUUUCCAGGCAAGUUUUUGGCCUUUUGAACGAUGGCAUCAAUAUGCAAGCUUCGUUUUUCCUUAUUUGGAGAGCCCACUAAGUACAACGACGAAACAUCACUGAUCAGAUGGCUCAUCCCAAAACGGGAAAUAGGAUCACCUGGGAUAUACCUGUGAAGCUGCAUGAAAGGUAGGCUUGUAUUCUUUA
Molecule: long non-coding RNA, 3186 nt
Organism: Corythoichthys intestinalis (scribbled pipefish)
Lineage: Eukaryota; Metazoa; Chordata; Actinopteri; Syngnathiformes; Syngnathidae
Exons: 7
Source: RefSeq, a predicted model, not a curated record